This is a long non-coding RNA of Equus caballus (horse), 940 nucleotides long. The record is from Ensembl. NCBI's taxonomy places the organism in Eukaryota, Metazoa, Chordata, Mammalia, Perissodactyla, Equidae.
CCUUUAUUCAACAUGUCCACACUGAGAACCCACUGUGUACAAGGAAAUACUAAUAGCAAAUUUUAUGCUUUGGGGUUGACAACACACUUGCGUAUUCAUUUUCCAUUCAAUCAGCAUUGAAUCCCUGUAAAAUAGAUGGUAGAGGCAUUCUCAUCUUACACAUAUUUGCGUUCUGAAGCUCCGGAAGAUUAAAUGAUUUGCUCAUCACAGCUGGUAAGUGGCAGCACUUGAACACGAACCCGAGAGUCCUGACAGCAAUUCCUCUGACUAUGCUUCUCUGUCAUGUCACCUCAUCUUAGGGAUAUGACAUAUUGUCUUCUACCAAUCUACUUGUUGUAUGUGGGAUAGUUGAGAGCAGGAUACUUAGGAAAUUAUUUUGGCCAUCCAACCUCCUCCAUUGUGACAUCAGAGCAGUGACUUCUACUUCUUGCCUUCUCCCAUUUUACCAGUGGCGUAGCUGGGUGCAGGCACAGUUUUGGGGUGAGGAGGUCAGUUCUCCAUCGGCAUGCCCUGAGAUAACCCAGAAGGGAAGUCGUAUCUGCUGCCUGCCAAGCACCUCCACGGAGCCUGGAGGAGCCUUCACGGUUCUGCAAGCAGGAAUUCCGCUGAAAUUACCAUCUGCAGAGUCAGACAAGCCUUUCAGCAGCACAGAGGCUCUCUGUGUGGGCAGAGUCUCCCACAUGUGGCUGGUUGGCACGGCCAGCCAGCUGUGGGUCACCUGUGGGCACCAGGCAGGCAAAGCCACAUACUGAGCAAGGAGAAAAAUCAUAACCCUGUGGAAACUAGGAAACCAUUCACGCUUCUUUUAAACGAGUAAAGGUUUCAAGUUAACCUGAAGUAAAUUCCUCACCUUGGAAAAGGAUGAAUGCAUUUUCGUGAAAGGUGAUUUAUUCACUGACAACAUUGCAAACAUUUAUUUUUACCCUCAAUAAAAAGGAUA